Non-coding RNA from Eublepharis macularius, 182 nucleotides. RefSeq annotates it as small Cajal body-specific RNA 16. The record is from RefSeq and is a predicted model, not a curated record. Lineage: Eukaryota; Metazoa; Chordata; Lepidosauria; Squamata; Eublepharidae. The transcript has a single exon.
GUGGGCUGGGAAAUGCUUGCUGAGUAGCUAAACCUACCCAGGUCUAGCUUUGUACCAGCUAACCUGACCUUGCCCUAGAUUAAUAAAAUGGCACACUCCUUUUGGGAGGUCUGCUUUAUGCAGCAGUGAGUGUGAGCAUUCUGCCAGGAACGUGAUGGUCAUAUAAGAUGCUGCAUACACAU